Molecule: ribosomal RNA, 416 nt
Filed under: uncultured bacterium
Lineage: Bacteria
Description: partial 16S ribosomal RNA
Rfam family: Bacterial small subunit ribosomal RNA
Source: RNAcentral
UAUUGGUCAAUGGGCGGGAGCCUGAACCAGCCAAGUCGCGUGAGGGAAGACGGUCCUACGGANUGUAAACCUCUUUUGCCGUGGANNCCNNNGNUCCUUGCGAGGGCCCAAUGAGAGUACCCGGAGAAAANNNANANGCUAACUCAUUGUCAGCAGCCGCGGUAAUACGGAGGAUGCGAGCGUUAUCCGGAUUUAUUGGAUUUAAAGGGUGCGUAGGCGGGCUGUUAAGUCAGCGGUCAAAUGUCAGGGCUCAACCCCGGCCUGCCGUUGAAACUGGCGGCCUCGAGUGGGCGAGAAGUAUGCGGAAUGCGUGGUGUAGCGGUGAAAUGCAUAGAUAUCACGCAGAACUCCGAUUGCGAAGGCAGCAUACCGGCGCCCUACUGACGCUGAGGCACGAAAGCGUGGGUAUCGAACAG